AUUGAACGCUGGCGGCAUGCCUUACACAUGCAAGUCGAACGCGAAAGUGGGGGCAACCCUGCGAGUAGAGUGGCGAACGGGUGAGUAACACAUCGGAACGUACCCAGGAGUGGGGGACAACCUCGAGAAAUCGAGGCUAAUACCGCAUACGUCCUGAGGGAGAAAGCGGGGGAUCUGCAAGGACCUCGCGCUCAUGGAGCGGCCGAUGUCGGAUUAGCUAGUUGGCGGGGUAAAAGCCCACCAAGGCUACGAUCCGUAGCUGGUUUGAGAGAACGACCAGCCACACUGGGACUGAGACACGGCCCAGACUCCUACGGGUGGCAG
Molecule: ribosomal RNA, 324 nt
Filed under: uncultured Pseudomonadota bacterium
Lineage: Bacteria; Pseudomonadati; Pseudomonadota
Description: bacterial SSU rRNA
Rfam family: Bacterial small subunit ribosomal RNA
Source: RNAcentral